UCCCUGGUGGCUCAGAUGGUAAAGUAUCUGCAUGCAAUGCAGGAGACCUGGGUUCGAUCCCUGGGUUGGGAA
Molecule: transfer RNA, 72 nt
Filed under: Bos taurus (domestic cattle)
Lineage: Eukaryota; Metazoa; Chordata; Mammalia; Artiodactyla; Bovidae
Also listed under: 4 other names
Rfam family: tRNA
About the family: Transfer RNA (tRNA) molecules are approximately 80 nucleotides in length. Their secondary structure includes four short double-helical elements and three loops (D, anti-codon, and T loops).
Source: Rfam by way of RNAcentral